AGAAAUUCGAUUCCAAGAGGUAUUGGAUUAAAUCGAAACAAUGACAUAAGUGGUCGAUCAUAAUUUACUAUAUACUAAAGAUGAGUUCCACUGUGCCACUGUUCCUAAGGCAACAGUAAGGAACAGUUCAGGGGCUUAGGAACAGUCAGGAACAGUUCAUGGGGCAGGAAAGGAAGGGCUACAGUAGAGAACAGUGCGUGAGGGACAGAAGAGACGGUUUUGUCCUCAGCUGAUAAUUUUUUUCCGUUUAUGCCGCUGACCCAAGUAUACCAGAUGGUUCCAUCGGUUUCUUCUUUCUUCUAUUGUGUUCUGUUGUUCAUAUAUACCAAAACGAUCGAGGAUCUUCGGGAAGCCUCCAUUUUCACUGACUGCAACUAUUCUACUGUUUCGAAUUUUACUAUCAAGAUCGACAGUGAUGAAAUCAAGCCGUGUAACCAAAUUUGAAAGAGUGGGUUUGUUUCUUUUCGGCUUGCCAUCUUCCGGGAUUUGGAUUUGUAUGAUCAAUCGAUUUCUUCUUUCUUUUUACAAUCGUAUAACCUGGAUUGAGACGGAAUUCACUAUUAUCAGUUCUGGGCAUAUGUAGAAGAGUAUUUUAUGGGUUAUCUUUUGUGGGUGGAAAUUGAGAUUGCAAGUUGAAGAGUGAAGAAAGCUUCUGGUGGCACAGAGAAGAAUCCAUCAAUCUUGCUGCAAAUGGAAGCAAACCACGAGGUCCCAUCAAGUUCUAUGCUUUUAACCUUAAUCAUGUGAAGAAAGAGCAGCAAAACGGAAAGAGUUCUUUAAGAGGCUGGAAGAAAAGAAAAGGGGAGAGGCAUAAAGUAAGCAGCUGCAAAUGAGAGAUCUAACAGGAUGCUUGAAGGAUAUCCACCACUUUCAAAUUAUGAGCCUCAUGAAGUAGCCAAAUUUGUUGUAGGACACACCCCUGAACUGAAAAAGUAAGCCAAUAUUAUCUCAGACUGAAGCAUUUUCUUUUUGGUCAUGGCCUUUGUUGAAUUCUCUGUAGUCAGAUUCUUAUUUACACUAAAUGCAUGACCUUUUACCGGCUUUUUUCUCCGACUUUAGGUAAAUGAUGUUCCACGAAAUAUGGUUAAAGUAUCUAUCUCCUCUUUUGCAUAUCUCAAGAAUGAGAAAAAGUUGUUUUUAUGUUUGAAUGACUGGAGUUGUAUCAUUCAGAUAAUGCAACUGCAAGGGCAUAUGUCCUUGGUGAGUGAUGCAAAGGCUGUAAAAUCCCUUACACCAGCAAUAAUGUAUAGCCACACCGUUUAAAAACAAAUGAUGAAAUGAAAGUGGCUGAAUUGGAAGCUAACUUGGCAGUGAGACGAGCAAAAUUGAAGGCCUCACUUACUGGCAAGUCUUCCAAGCUACGAACACUUUGGUGACCAAAUUUGAUAUGCUGAACUUGGUUUCUUCCCAUGUUGCAGAGAAGGAAAAAAGAUUAUGUUUUAAAUCUUUUAGAGCAUGGCACUGGCACUUUCACCCAUAGCUUAUGAACUAUAAUAUGUAAAAGGUUUCUAGUAAACCAUUUAUAGUUGUCUAACAGUGAUUGUAAGUAAGAAUAUUCUUAUAAUCCCAGUGGUUUGUCUCAUAUUAUGUAAAGUCAAUGCAGUACUAUAAAAACCGCAGCAACGCGCGGGGAGCUGUUUCUAGUUUCUCUACAAACUUUAAGUUUGGAGAUCUCAACAAGCUCCAAGCUUGGAGAGAGCACAAACCCCCAUAGUUCGGCUUAAUUAGGUCUCCCCUAUCAAGAAGAAAGGGGGAUAAAAGAUGAGAGGUUGCAAGUCCCUGAAGAAAAAGAAGAGAAAAGGAAUAAAAACAAAAAAAAAACAGGAACUUUAAAACAUACCUCUAAUUCGGGUUUCCGGUGUGGCUACGGUGUGGCGCUCUGUGGCAGCGAGGGAUGGUGGCGCGGUGAUGGGACGCGGCGACACACGGCGGGAAGAAGGCUAGUGCGGGCUAGGAGCGGCGAUCUAGGGUUUUAGGAUUUUUGGUUUUUGGAAUUUCAGGGUUAGGGAUUUGCGCUGAUAACGUGUUUUAGGAAAAUUGAUAUUGGAAAAGAAUUGAGUCGUGCUUUCAUUGAUAAUAGGGGUCUUUUUAUAUAAAAGAUAACAAGCAUAAAAUCAGACUUGUACAUGGAAAUGUAAUAGUAUAAUGAUUGGAUAU
This is a long non-coding RNA of Rosa chinensis, 2157 nucleotides long. RefSeq lists it as uncharacterized. Lineage: Eukaryota; Viridiplantae; Streptophyta; Magnoliopsida; Rosales; Rosaceae. The record is from RefSeq and is a predicted model, not a curated record. The transcript is spliced from 7 exons.